This 231-nucleotide ribosomal RNA is filed under the name uncultured Caryophanales bacterium. Its description in RNAcentral is "uncultured Bacillales bacterium partial 16S ribosomal RNA". It matches the Rfam family "Bacterial small subunit ribosomal RNA", at positions 109 to 334 of the family's 1533-position model. Lineage: Bacteria; Bacillati; Bacillota; Bacilli; Caryophanales. The record is from RNAcentral.
AGUAACACGUAAAGAACCUGCCUCAUAGACUGGGACAACUAUUGGAAACGAUAGCUAAUACCGGAUAACAGCAUUAACUGCAUGGUUGAUGUUUAAAAGUUGGUUUUGCUAACACUAUGAGAUGGCUUUGCGGUGCAUUAGCUAGUUGGUGGGGUAAAGGCCUACCAAGGCGACGAUGCAUAGCCGACCUGAGAGGGUGAACGGCCACACUGGGACUGAGACACGGCCCAG